Molecule: transfer RNA, 73 nt
Filed under: Toxocara canis (dog roundworm)
Lineage: Eukaryota; Metazoa; Nematoda; Chromadorea; Rhabditida; Toxocaridae
Rfam family: tRNA
About the family: Transfer RNA (tRNA) molecules are approximately 80 nucleotides in length.
Source: Rfam by way of RNAcentral
CGAGCAGUAGCUCAAUGGUAGAGCUUUCCGCUUCGUAGGCGGCAAGACCUGGGUUCGAUUCCCGGCUGCUUAA